This 459-nucleotide ribosomal RNA is filed under the name uncultured bacterium. RNAcentral describes it as "partial 16S ribosomal RNA". It matches the Rfam family "Bacterial small subunit ribosomal RNA", at positions 338 to 795 of the family's 1533-position model. The record is from RNAcentral.
CCUACGGGUGGCGGCAGGGAGGAAUAUUGGUCAAUGGACGAGAGUCGGAACCAGCCAAGUAGCGUGAAGGAUGACUGCCCUAUGGGUUGUAAACUUCUUUUAUAUGGGAAUAAAACAGGGUAUGCAUACCCUCUUGUAUGUACCAUAUGAAUAAGGAUCGGCUAACUCCGUGCCAGCAGCCGCGGUAAUACGGAGGAUGCGAGCGUUAUCCGGAUUUAUUGGGUUUAAAGGGUGCGUAGGCGGACUGUUAAGUCGGCGGUAAAAGCCCGGGGCUAAACCCCGGCGGGCCGUUGAAACUGGCUGUCUUGAGCUGACGAGAGGUAGGCGGAAUGCGCGGUGUAGCGGUGAAAUGCUUAGAUAUUGCGCAGAACUCCGAUUGCGAAGGCAGCAUACCGGAGGCGAUCUGACGCUGAGGCUCGAAAGCGUGGGGAGCAAACAGGAUUAGAUACCCCAGUAGUC